Molecule: long non-coding RNA, 862 nt
Organism: Lutra lutra (Eurasian river otter)
Lineage: Eukaryota; Metazoa; Chordata; Mammalia; Carnivora; Mustelidae
Exons: 4
Source: RefSeq, a predicted model, not a curated record
UGACUGGGUGCGCCCAGAUAAACAAGUCAGACAUGCAGUCCGUAGUAAGUGAUGCGGCCAAAAACCGGCAGGGCCAAGGCGAGGGAGCAUUUUUUGUUACCGAAAAGCCCCUGAAGCAACAGUUGAAGAACAUUAGGUUAGCUGAAAAGCAUUUGGCUCGCUGAGAAGGUCGUCUUGGCUGUUUCGUGUUUGCAGGGCAGCACCUGUUGUCCCUGCGUGGAGACGUUUUACCCGCCCCCCACCUCCAUUUUAAAAAACAAAACAAAACAUUUUUCUCGCUUGGAGAAUUGGUUGGUGAUUUGGCUGGCUAGAGAUACUUGGGAAGUGGUGAAAGGCUUUUGAGGGGCGUGACUGAAUCAAAGCAUUGUUUUAAGAAGGUAGAUUUGCCCUCUACAAUCACGCCUUAUUAGUAAAGAGACAAGAGAUAACAGGUGCUGGUAAGGAUGUGGAGAAAAGGAACCCUUGUGCGUGGUUGGUGGGAAUGUAAGUUGGUGCAGCCACUAUGGAAAACAGUAUGGAGGUUCCUCGGAAAGGUAAAAAUAGAACUACACUAUGAUUCAGCAAUGCCACUUCUGGGACAUCCAUGUGAGAACACAGAUGGACCUUUUCUGUUUUCUAUUUACACUCUCCCUUGGUGAUCCCAUCCAGUCUUGUGGCUAUCAGAAUUUGAGACAAAGAUGGCCAUCUUUGAACCAGGAAGUGGACUCUCACGAAGCCAAAUCUGCCAGCACUUUGAUCUUGGACUUCAUCUUCAAGUCUCCAGAACUGUGAGAAAUACAUGUCUGGGUUUUUAUUUAAAAAUAAAUAUAUGAAAAAAUAAGCACAGAAAAUAGCAUUAUUUUAAAGACCCUCUCAGUUCUUU